Molecule: ribosomal RNA, 253 nt
Filed under: uncultured bacterium
Lineage: Bacteria
Description: partial 16S ribosomal RNA
Rfam family: Bacterial small subunit ribosomal RNA
Source: RNAcentral
UACGUAGGGUGCGAGCGUUGUCCGGAAUUACUGGGCGUAAAGAGCUCGUAGGUGGUUUGUCGCGUUGUUCGUGAAAACUCACAGCUUAACUGUGGGCGUGCGGGCGAUACGGGCAGACUGGAGUACUGCAGGGGAGACUGGAAUUCCUGGUGUAGCGGUGGAAUGCGCAGAUAUCAGGAGGAACACCGGUGGCGAAGGCGGCUCUCUGGGACGGUACUGACGCUGAGACGCGAAAGCGUGGGGAGCAAACAGG